UUUUGAAACAAAAUCAAGUGGGGGUAGGGAGAGUUGAAGAAGGAAGACGCAUGAUAAGGGAUAGAUUACAACAUAAAAAGGUGUUGAUUGUCCUUGAUGAUGUCAACGAGCUUGAGCAGCUAGAAGAGUUAGCUGGAUCACAUGAUUGGUUCGGUGAAGGAAGCCGGAUAUUAAUCACCACUAGAGAUGAACAUAUAUUAACUGGACACAAAGUAGAUGUGAUACACAAUAUUAGCUUGUUAAACGAUGAUGAGGCUAUGAAGCUCUUUUGUAAGCAUGCACCCCAGGGUUAUAGACGUAUAAAAGAUUAUGAGCAGCUUUCAAAAGAUGUGGUUUCAUAUGCUUGUGGGCUCCCAUUAGCACUUAGAGUUCUCGGUCGUUUUCUAUGUGACAAAGAGACAAAUGAGUGGAGGAGUGCUUUGGCUAGAUUGAAAGAAAUCCCAGAGACUGAUAUUUUGGAAAAGCUAAAACUCAGCUUUGAUGUACUUACGCACCUAGAGAGAGAGUUGUUCUUGGACAUUGCAUGUUUCUUCAGAGGGGUGUAUAAAGAUGAACGUAUAAUGAUGAAGCUUGAUGCUCGUGGCUUUCACCCUGUUAUAGGCAUAAAGGUGUUGAUACAAAAGGCCCUAAUAACAAUUUCAGAUGGAAGGUUUGAUAUGCAUGAUCUGGUGCAAGAAAUGGGACACUACAUUGUUAGAGGGAAACACCCGAAGAAUCCUGAAAAACAUAGUAGAGUGUGGAAGGUGGAGGAUGUUCUAAAAAUAUGUGCUAUGGAUGCAACAACGGUAAUCGUUAAACUAGUUAUUCAUGAUAUAUAUGUAUAAUUAACCACUGAACUUGAUCCUGAAACCAUUUUGUUCAUCUAUUCCAGAACCUUGACAAGAUCGAAGCUAUAAAUCUUUUGUAUUUAAGGAGUGACGAAUCACAUGUUUAUCAUAUCGUUGCAAACAUGAAGAAACUUCGGUCGAUUAGUUUGGAAUACUAUGAAGCAUUGUUUGAGACUCCACUAUUAAUUAUAAUGCCAGGAAAUUUUCCACCAAGGGAGCUUUGUUGUCUAACACUGAGGUUUCUCAAUGCAAAACAACUUUGGGAGGGUUACAAGGUAAUUCUUAUUAUUUAAUGGAUGAAAGCAAAGUGAAUGACUAAAAUUUUAAUGUCUAUCUAAUGUGUCUGUCUGUCUAAGAAGCAAAUGUGUCUAUAAAUGGCUGAUUUUAAUGUAUCUCAGUAAUCAUAAAAUGAUAAGUUCUUAUUAGGACGAAUAUAUGAUUUAUUAAAUGUUAUUAGCUUUUGCUUAUUUUUAUGAAGUGACUAUUAAUAAUUUUAUUAGAAAGUUGGUGUUAAUGUUAUAUACAUAUGAUAGUUGGGAAGAUUACUUAUACAUCGCAUUAUCCAACACUUGUCGGACAUGCAGUAUGCAACCGACUCAUUUAUAAAACCUUUAUUAAAUAUACAAUGCAAGCUCUCAACUAUAAACAUAUAAUUUCAUAUCUCCUUUGAGGUCCAAAACUAGGUCAGGAUCAACAAGACCGAAAAAAUACAACCAGGACCUAACAAACUAAACUGGACGCAUAUGCAACUAUGUUUGGUCGGGUUUUGCUUCUUGAUUUUGCUUAUGUACUUAUUUAAAGGUGGUAGUUUGUUUUGUUUUCAGUAUUUAUUUUUGCCAAUAUCGAUUCAUAAUCUAGUCCAUUCCGGUUGACAACUGGACCCAUGUUUUUUAAACUUUAAAACAUUAAAGUUGAAACCGAAUCUGUUUAAAUUAUUUUAUUUUUCGAUUUUAUUGUUCUAAUUUUUUUUCAUUUCACUUUUUUUUUUUAUAUUCGUUUAAUUAAAGCUGAAACCGAAAAUAUACAUAUACCUAUAUUCCAUGAACCGUUGGCAAAGUUUUGAGUUAUGUGCACUUGUGUACACAGUAUCUACCAAAUUUGAGGAUGAUCAAUCUUGAACACUUGCGGAACCUAAUCAAGACACCUGAUUUUAAUGGGCUUCCGAACCUUGAAAGAUUGAUGGUUUAUGAUUCUCCGCUUUUAGAAGAGAUUCAUCCAUCAUUUGGACAGUCGGAAAACCUUGUUUGUGUAGAGAUACGGAGUUGCGACAAUCUUCAGAUGCUUCCUCCCAUUACCCAGAUGAAGCAUCUGGAGACUCUUGUACUCUCAGGAUGCAGUACAGUUAAUAAUCUUUCAAAGAUCCAACAAAAUAUGGAGAAGUUUGUACCUCAAAACAUGAACUACAUAGGGCUAUGGUUUUCUAGUGAAUGCUUAAGAAAGCUGGAUCUCAGGUGGUUCAAAUUGGCAGAUGGAGUCAUCGGAUCUCCUGCUGUUUGGGAGUUACCCAACUUGCAAGAACUCAAUCUAACAGGAAAUAGUUUUGUACGUUUGAAUUUUAGUCUCUUGCGAGUUCCUCAACUCCAAUAUCUCAACAUAUCACAAUGCUAUAACCUUGUAGAAUUGUCGGAUCUUCCAUCAAGUAUAGCUGUUGUUAUAGCGGAUGGUUGUAGGUCACUUGAAACCCUUGGAGACAUUUCAAACUGCAAAUGCUUGUGGAAAGUCUCACUUUCAGAGGAGAACAACCUUGGUCCACAUUUUGGUGACAUGUUACUAGACUCCAUGCUCCAGGUUUGUCUUUUAAUUUGAGUUUCAUUCUCUAUGUAUAUAAACCCUAACAUAAGAAGAAUAACAUUAAUCAUAAACAAAUGUGUACUGUGGCAGGGAAACGCCAAACACUACUUUAUCAAUAUCACUAUUUCAGACAUUGACAUUUGGAUGGGGUUACCUGUAGUUUGGGUCGACUGGGUGAAGACUUAUAAUAUGUUCCUUCCACAUGAUUGGUACAAUCACUUUUCUGGGAUUUUGAUGUUCGUCAAAUCUGAAGCCAUCUAUAUGGAAAUUAAUAUAAGUAUGAAGCAUGGCUUAGAAGAAGAUUUUCAAUCUCAGCUUUCAAAGGAGUCUAAUGAAAGGCCUGAUGCUCAUUCUCGAGAGACAUGUGUAGGAUAUGUUUCAUUUCGUUCAUUGAGGCACUCCGGAUGCUUGGAUUCAACAUACAAUACCAUUUCGUUUUCCUUAUGCAAUGAGUAUUUGUAUGGAUAUGGGUGUCGGUUUAGGGCUAUACUCGUUCCUAAAGAUGAUCCAAUGCAAACAGCAGAUUCAUCAGAAUUUUGGGAUGCGGAGGAAGUUUAUGAAAGAAGGGUAUUUACCAUCCAACAUGAUGCAAACUCCUCUAUCGAGAUUUUAUGGAGACCUGUCUGCCAUUUGUAAACCCAUUCCCACAUGUCUCUUGCCUAGUCACCAGUUCCUCAUUACCACUCUCAACUUUUUAUUUUGCAUUAGGGCAUCUACAAUGCAUUGAACUCCAUAGAGUUGAAUGGAUUGCUACAUCAUUUUUCUACAUUUCAUACAAGUCAAUCAAUUUUUUCUUACAAUGCAUUGAACUCUACAAAGUUUAAUAGAAAGUUACAAAAGGUAUANNNNNNNNNNNNNNNNNNNNNNNNNNNNNNNNGAACCCACGGGUGCUAUUUCUAAAUUGAAUUUAAAAAUUAAUUAUUUAAUAAAAUAAUAUUUCAAUAAUUCUUAUAACUUAUAAAUUGUAAUAUUGAAUAUUUCAAUAAAUUUUUUAAUUUGUAAGUAUUUAAUUACAAAGUAAAUGAGAAGUAUUUAAUUCGGAAUGAAGAUUUUUGAAAACUCUUUUUUUUUAUGCAUGAUUCUUGUUGGACAUAUGCAGAUGAUGCAUUACCAAUGUGUGUAAUGAAAUUAACAUAAAAUACAACAAUAUGUAAUUAUAAAAAAAUACAGUAAUAUGAUGGAUUAAGUGUGAUUUGCUAAAAUUGAAUAAAACGACGUUACAAAAAAGUUGGCUACAAAUUUCGAAAAACUUCCUUAUAAACAACAUUGGAAGUUUUAUUUGUGAGUUUGCCAUCUUUAUCUAAAAUUAAUAAUUUUAAUCCCUCUCUGCUCUGAACUCUAGAUAAGGCAACAUACAAUUGUCCAUGUGAAAAAACUGGAUCUUUCAGAAACAAACCAACCUUUGAUAACGAUUGUCCUUGACUUUUAUUAAUAGUCAUUGCAAAACAUACGGCCAAAGGAAACUGUCUUCUUGUGAAUUUGAAGGGAAUCUUUUUUUCUGAUGGAGUUGAAGACAUUCUUGGAAUAAAAGUCUGAUUUCCAAUAUUAGUUCCAGUUAUUAUACGUGCCUCAAUAACAUGUUUGUCCAAUGAUAACACCUGUAGUCUUGUGCCAUUACAUAAGCCGUUUUUCUGAUCAAUAUUUCUCAGUAACAUUACUGGAACACCAAUUUUUAAAACUAACUUAUGAUUUGGUAAACCGGAUACUUUGAGACCAUUUAAUACAUCAGGAGAGUAUAGAUUUGCAUCAAAUUGAUCAUGGAGAAAUUCGGAUUCACAUAUGCUGUCUGAACUUAAAUAUUCAACUUCAUCUCCUGGAAACUUCUUAAGCAAACGGUCGUUUAUUUCCUGGACAACUUCAUUUUUCGGAGCAAGUAUCGCUCUUUCUUGGAAAUAAUUUAUAUCGCUAUAGUUCUCUAAAAUUGAAGGAUAUACAAACUCAAUUAAGGAACCUAUGGGAUCAUGUGAAUCGUUAAUGAGAAUAUCAUCCGAAAUAUCGAUAAUCGUUUCACCGUCGUUCGGACCACCAAGUUUUCCUUCUCCUAUAUCCAACAACCAAUUUGCAAAAUCUCUUAUUUUUCCUAUAUCUGAUUGAUCCCUUCCAACAGUUAGCCUCAUGUUUUUUGUUAAUCUAUGGACUUUGCAAUGUUCCCAUAAAUAUGAAGAACUCAAAGAAGCAUUUACAAUGUUCUGUCUACUGCCACCCGGAACAACAAGUAGAAUCUGUCUAAAAUCUCCUCCAAAGACAAUAACUUUCCCUCCAAAUGGAAUAUUUGAGAUUGUUGAAUUUACGCACCUUAGUAAAUCCUUAAAAGUUCGAUCUAAAGCUUCAAAUGCAUGCUUAUGGACCAUAGGUGCUUCAUCCCAAAUUAUUAAAGAGGUUUUUCUUAUUAAGCUUGCCAACUCACCGUCUGGAUUUAUGUUACAAAAAGAAUCCUCUGUAAGCUCAAAUGGAAUUAUAAAUCGAGAGUGUGCUGUUCUACCACCAGGCAAUAAUAAGGAAGCAAUACCGCUUGAAGCAACAUUUAAUACAAUAUUUCCUUCAGAUCUAAUUGCUGCAGAUAUUGUUUUCCAUAAAAAAGUUUUACCCGUUCCACCAUAACCGUAAACAAAGAAGACACCUCCUUUAUUUUCUUGAAUAGCACUCAUGAUGUUUAGGAAAAUAUUACGUUGCUCAUUUGUUAAUGCAAGAAACAUACGAUCAUAGUCAUUCUUUAUCACGGGAACGUCGUAAUCUAGCUCCUCGGUGAUAAGCCGAUUGUUUGAAGAAGAAACGGAUUCAACAUCUGGGUAUGGCAUGUUUUUGAAGUUUUUGAGUGUAGAGUUGUUUCGAAGUAAAAUUUGUUGUAUUUCGAACAAAGUUAAGUUCUUAAGUUCAUCUACUCCGAGUGACAAUUCUGCACGAAAAUAUUAAAUAAUUAAUAAAAUUUGUCGUCGAUAUUUAAUAAUUUUAUUAAUAAUGAUUUAAUGGUUGUUGAAUAAUAAAAAUAAAUUAAUUUAAAAAAAAUAAGAAAAAAUGUUAUACCUGCAGACUUAAAUCUUUGUCGUUGUCUAUAUAGAAUUCCAUCUGCCAAAUAUUCUCAUGUAUUUUCCCAAACGACCUCUGGUUUUGACAUACUAUUACACAUCAACAAUGUAGCAAAUAAAAAGCGUAGAUAAAAACCAGAUCCAGAAUGACUUGCUUCUUUAAUUGCAUCAAUGUAUUCCUUGUCAUCAUCUAAUAGCCCGAGUGCAUAACAAGCAUCUCUAAAAGAAGAAUGUGUUUGACCAUUUACCGUGCGAAUAUCAUCAAAUGAUGUUGGUCCUUUUACUUUAUUUAAAAGAAUCCUUAAGAAAUAUGCCUCACCUAGUUUAGGUGAAACAGAAUGAAUUCUACCGAUGGCUUUUCCUACUUUCCUUCGCUUCCAAAACCGACCAUUUAAUAUCCAAACAAACUUUGUAGGGAAUUCAACAUAUGUGAGUUUUCGUGCUUCACUGUCGAUUGCAUUACAUUCCAUCCAAGCUGUGAACUUUGAAGCCGCAACAGAAGGUUUGUCAAGAACAUCAUCAAUAUCAUCGUCUUCACCAUAUACAAUCUGUUGUUGAUUAGGAAGAUGAAAAGGCAGUCUGACAACAGAAGGAUAUCUGCAAUGAACAUCAUAUGUAAAAAUUCGCCAUGAUGCUUCACAUGCUGAUAAAUAUCUACAAUCGUAAUAUUCAGCUAUUUCAUUGACCGCAUCAUUAUUUUCACAUUCAUUGUUGGUUGGUACAACAGCAACUGUAGCUCUAUCAGGACCCUUAUUUAUGUAUUUAAACAAAUACUUUAUAGAAGAUCCCUGAUUGCACCAUUCAAUAUUAAUAUGUGUCUGAUAUCUUUUCAAUAGAUAUUUGUUGUAUGGAACAACAUUUCUAUUAUCCAACCUUACACCUGAUUUUUCUACAAAAUGACCAUCGUUUCUUCGCCUAUAUAACGGAAAACCAUUCUGAUCUACAGACGAAUGAUUACUGAAUUGUUUUGGAAAGUUUUUAGAGCACUUUUUAUCCACCAUGCAUGGACAAUUCAUAUUUUCAGCUCCACAUGGACCAUGAACCAUAAACUCAUUUACAAGUGAAUACAAUUCAGGAUCUUCGAUUCUGUCUGGUAUCUCUGCUGAAAUUAUCGGAUCGAUAAGUUCAACAGUUGGUAGCUUGUUGUCAGAAUGCAUGAAUAGACAUAUAUGACUAUGCGGCAAACCUCUUUUUUGGAAUUCAAUUGUAUAAACAUCUGUAAAAGAAUUUGCCAAAAAAAAGUAAAAUGUGAUUAGAUAUUAAAACAUAUUUAAAAUAUAAUAAUAAGAUCAAUGUUUUAUAAAAAAUUUAAAAAUAUUGUUUUAAUUACAUGCUUGAACUUUGCCGAAAAUUUGAUUAUCCCUUAAGUCUUUAAUGAAUGCAUCAAGCUUGAUCUUGAACAACCUACAUAGUAUAUCAGGCCUGUCUUCUGGUUGAAGUGAAGUAUCCUUAAGAAACCUUUUAAUCUCAGGCCAUUUGGGAUUACACGUAAAGGUUAUGAAGAAAUCAGGAUAUCCAAACCAUUUGCAUAGUGACAUGGCAUCCAAAUAGUUUUGCAGCAUAUAACGUGCACCUCCGGUAAAGGAUGAAGGUAAUAUGACACGUUGGCCGACAUUCGAGAUAUCAGUCGUUCCUUGAGCUUUUUGGUUACGUAAAUUUUCAUAAGAAUCACAUCUAAGAACAUGUUGUUGCCUACGUAUGUAGUACAUUCUCUCCGUUUCCAUCAUAGUGUAGGCAUCUACCAGAAAUUGUUGAAACAACCUUCUUGAAUUAAGUAUGAGAGAAAACGAAUGAUCUCUGUCUUGAAUCCUAUAAGCGAAAUAUUCUCUCAUUGUACAUUUCGCACGCUUGCUGUUGUUCGUAAAUGACACACCUCUAUGAAGAAUGUCAACACUAUAACCAUCAUCCCCAUAUGGAAAUAGCAAUGGAUAUUGGAGAGGAAGAUACGAAGGAUGCAAUUCACUGAUACGUUGUAGACAACCAUUUUUUGUUUGAACGACGAUAUCCCUCUUCUCGAUUGAAUCCGAAAUGUCACCAAUUAUUAAAGCAGCAACCUCAGAAGCAGUCGGUAGGUUAUAUGUUCUUCCAUCUUGCUCCCUUCUCCCGAUAAGUCGUAAUUUCAUAUCAACUUCUGGAUUUUUCUGAAAAGUAUCUCUUACCAUCCUAUAAGAUCUAACCAACACAUUAUUUGAAUCCAACAUCACCUUAAUAUCUUCAAUAAUAUCACUAUCAGUUGAUGUUGAUUGAUCCUUUUCACCACUAAAACAAAUAUAUUUAUAAAUAAUAUUAGUAAUAUAUAUAUAUAUAUAUAUAUAUAUAUAUAUAUAUAUAUAUGUUCAUUAUAUGAUAACUAGGCUCAUGCGUGUGUACAAGUCUCCANNNNNNNNNNNNNNNNNNNNNNNNNNNNNNNNNNNNNNNNNNNNNNNNNNNNNNNNNNNNNNNNNNNNNNNNNNNNNNNNNNNNNNNNNNNNNNNNNNNNNNNNNNNNNNNNNNNNNNNNNNNNNNNNNNNNNNNNNNNNNNNNNNNNNNNNNNNNNNNNNNNNNNNNNNNNNNNNNNNNNNNNNNNNNNNNNNNNNNNNNNNNNNNNNNNNNNNNNNNNNNNNNNNNNNNNNNNNNNNNNNNNNNNNNNNNNNNNNNNNNNNNNNNNNNNNNNNNNNNNNNNNNNNNNNNNNNNNNNNNNNNNNNNNNNNNNNNNNNNNNNNNNNNNNNNNNNNNNNNNNNNNNNNNNNNNNNNNNNNNNNNNNNNNNNNNNNNNNNNNNNNNNNNNNNNNNNNNNNNNNNNNNNNNNNNNNNNNNNNNNNNNNNNNNNNNNNNNNNNNNNNNNNNNNNNNNNNNNNNNNNNNNNNNNNNNNNNNNNNNNNNNNNNNNNNNNNNNNNNNNNNNNNNNNNNNNNNNNNNNNNNNNNNNNNNNNNNNNNNNNNNNNNNNNNNNNNNNNNNNNNNNNNNNNNNNNNNNNNNNNNNNNNNNNNNNNNNNNNNNNNNNNNNNNNNNNNNNNNNNNNNNNNNNNNNNNNNNNNNNNNNNNNNNNNNNNNNNNNNNNNNNNNNNNNNNNNNNNNNNNNNNNNNNNNNNNNNNNNNNNNNNNNNNNNNNNNNNNNNNNNNNNNNNNNNNNNNNNNNNNNNNNNNNNNNNNNNNNNNNNNNNNNNAUAUAUAUAUAUAUAUAUAUAUAUAUAUAUAUCCCGAUUAUAUACAUAAUGGAUAAUAGUAUAUUUUAAAAACCAUAAAUAAUUACCAUUUCUAUUGUUAGAUAACGGAUUUAUAACAUUUGUAAUGUUAGAAAAUGGAGUUCUAACAUCUGUAAAGGAAAGACAGUAUUGUAUGGUUGUGUUAUGCUUUGCAGGUGUUGUAAAUGUAUUGACAUUUUGAGUUUGACGAACAAUGUUGAUUGAUUGAUCUGCAAAUAGAAAUAAAUUAUAAAACUUGUAAAUAUAUGUAUAGAACAAUAUAACAGUAUUUUUGAACAAAUAUUGUAAUGAUGUACUUGGAACGUUCGAUGUUGUUUUUAUUUUCUUCGAUCUUUUAUUUUCCAAAUAUAUUUUUCUUUGUCUUCUUUUCUCUCUGGCCUGCGUGUGGUACAUGUUACUGUUGUUUUCUGCAUAAGAAGACAUAGGAUAGGAUAUGAAAUGUGAAAUUAGGUAAAUAAUAUGUUUAUAUAAUACAAUUAAAGUUAGUUAAAAUGAAAUAAAUAAUAAUAAUAAAGUAAAUGUAUUUAAAAAAGUUACCACUAUUAAUUCGUUUAUUAAAAUGCAUAACAAAAUUUGAAAAUAUUAAUUUCUUCAUUUAUAAUAUUUUUUAAACAAAAUAUCCAAUUGAAAAAUUUUGAAUAUUAAAUAAUAUAAAAUAGAAUUAAAAAUUUUAUAUUUGUUUAUAUUGUGUAACUCUUUAAUAAUCUUUAAAAGUAUAUGUGUUACGAUUGUGUAUUUGAUUGUUCCAUCACUUGUGGUUUCCUAUAGGGCUACAUAUAUUAUUUAAACAAAUUAAUCCAGCAAAAGAAGUUUCAAUAAUCUACCAACAAAUACCUUUCUACAAAAGUCUUAUUCAUCAGUCACUAUGUUUAUUUUACUCUCUCUGUGUUUGUGUUUUCGUACCAGGAAGGAAAAAAAGCAAUUUGUUUGACAUAAAUUCUGAAAUUUGGAUGCUUGUUUAGAACGACUACAAUCUUCCAUAGAUGGUCGUCGAAGAUUAGCCGUCAAAGAAUCUCAUCGAUUCCCCCAUAAUCGAUCGCAAUCAACAAAGAAUGAAAGGUUAGUAGAAUAUUUCAUCUACGAUGUCGUGUCGUCGUCCGAUUUGGUCAUAGUCAGGUUUGAAAAAUAUGAUCUGAAGGUAGACUCUCCUUCUUCCAGUACCACAAUCAAUUAUUUCCAUGAUGACCAUCAUGACUAAUCAACCUCGUUUCCAACCUAGGGUUUAUUCGAUUAACAUCUGCUCUUUCCCCAAUUUCAACCAAUCGUGGGUUCGGAUGAUUUCAGGGGUUAAAACCCUAGAUCUCCAAUGAAACAAUGAAGGUAAAAUCAUGUGAUAGACAAAACCGUGAUGAUUAAAAAUUGAUUAUUGAUCAUAAACAUCUAUUCUAACAUAUUUUUUUACUGAUCAGUAAAAUGAAAGUUUAUUUAGAUUUCGGUAACACUUUUUGUUCUAGUAUUUCCAUAGGUCGAUUAAUUGCAACUGUUUCACAAGAUAUAAAAGAUUUUGAUCUAUUAUUUGUAUAUAUUAUAACAUAUGAAGAUCUUCAAAAACCAAGAACACAUAAGUUUGUUUGAAGUUGUAUGAAACAGUUUGUUGUAAAUUUCAACCAUAAAUUCAUAGAGAAACCAGUGUAGUGUAAACUGAUAAUACUAACCUAACAUAGUGAUAUGGAAAUCUUGCAGCAAGUAAGACGGGUUUAAAAUGAAAAGCAGUUGAUUUGUGAACUGGAAUGAGGAUUAGAACUUGAAUGAAGCACCCUGAUGUACGUUUGAUGAAAAAAGAAUCGCAGAACCAAUUCAAAAAUAAAGAAGACGAAUGAAGAAAACGUAAAUUUGCGGUUUCACGUUCUGAGGUAAAGUUAUAUAUAUAUAUANNNNNNNNNNNNNNNNNNNNNNNNNNNNNNNNNNNNNNNNNNNNNNNNNNNNNNNNNNNNNNNNNNNNNNNNNNNNNNNNNNNNNNNNNNNNNNNNNNNNNNNNNNNNNNNNNNNNNNNNNNNNNNNNNNNNNNNNNNNNNNNNNNNNNNNNNNNNNNNNNNNNNNNNNNNNNNNNNNNNNNNNNNNNNNNNNNNNNNNNNNAUAUAUAUAUAUAUGUAUCAAUAAAAACAUUCUUCAUAUUUAUCUUUGUGAUCUUUUCUCAUUAUUUUUAUAUGUUACAGGUCAUUGUAGAGUAGGCUAAAAGAAGAGAUAUACAAAUAUAGAAAGGCAAUAGUUAUAAUUACGUGGUUUUAAUUAUGAGUUUCUUGAUAUAAUUUACAACUGCACAUAGAUGGUCCCUGUUAAAAAAGUUAAAAGAAAAUGUCUUUGAAAUAUGAAAACAUAAAUGUUCCAUGUUUAAAAUAAUCAACAUAAAUAUUAUAAAUAAUAGACAAUAAGAACACAACACAUAGAAGUUGGUUUCUAUUAAAUGUAAUUAUUCAAAUCUUGUAUCUAGAUUACAUAAAUGGUCACUACAUUUUAAAACUUAACUUACAUCUUCCACUUUUAAACAUAGCAAAACAUGAAGAGGUUACAAAAGAACAGGGUGUCAUUUUAUGGGUUCCUGUUUAUAAAGAAGCCAUCGAUUACAACAGCUUUGUAUAAAUAUCAUAUAAAAAUUAGUUAGACCAUUUUUCCGAUAACCAAAUUGUGCGUUAUCUUCUUUUCAAUUUUUUACCUUCACAAAAAAUUUAGAUUAUGUAACGGAUAAACAUCACCAUUCCUACAUCUAAACACUCACGUCAAUCCUAAAUAGGCUUACAUCACCUACAAUAAAUGGACAUACCAAUCGAUUGCAGCCGGUUACGUACACCAAGAACCCUUCGCCCUUUCGCAUCGCAUUUAAUACCCCUCUACACCACUCAACAGCUUCGACCUUCCCUAUAAAUCAACAAACCCCAUAACAUCUCCAUACCACAUCCAAUCACACUACCCAUUGGAAAACCAAAAGCCAAAACCACUCCCACAAAAUGAAACCGGCUGAAAUGGAAAGCAUCAUUCAUAUGCUGAUUGGCCAGGCGGAGGAAGAGCUGGCCGCUUUAACAAACCUCGAAAGCGAUUUCUACUUCAACCAGGAGAUGAAGAACGAACUGCUGGAGAACAUGAGCCGCCGACCAAAGUACACCAACUACCUACAUAUGAAGGACCUCAUCAACAACAGUACGUACGUGGCAUCAGAAAGAAUCAUGGCGAUUUACAGUCUAAAGAAGGAAACUGAAAUGACCAUCCAGGAGCUCAGGAAACUACUCAAAACACUUCCAGAAGAUGAUCAACCAUACAUGGACUGAUCAAAAANACAUCCAAUCACACUACCCAUUGGAAAACCAAAAGCCAAAACCACUCCCACAAAAUGAAACCGGCUGAAAUGGAAAGCAUCAUUCAUAUGCUGAUUGGCCAGGCGGAGGAAGAGCUGGCCGCUUUAACAAACCUCGAAAGCGAUUUCUACUUCAACCAGGAGAUGAAGAACGAACUGCUGGAGAACAUGAGCCGCCGACCAAAGUACACCAACUACCUAGAUAUGAAGGAACUCAUCAACAACAGUACGUACGUGGCAUCAAAAAGAAUCAUGGCGAUUUACAGUCUAAAGAAGGAAACUGAAACGACCAUCCAGGAGCUCAGGAAACUACUCAAAACACUUCCAGAAGAUGAUCAGCCAUACAUGGACUGAUCAAAAACAAAAAAAUCACCAACUCUUUUGUCAUCUUAUUAUCCAUGGUCUCUUUAAAUCGUUUUCUCUUUUGAUGCUAUGCUUAUGAACAGAUCCAUGGUUCAGCCUUGUAUUCACCUCUAAGAAAUAUAAUCUAUCGUUUAUGUCUAUUUUGUCAUUCCAUAUAUAAACCGUAAUGCACACACACAAUAAACCACAUGUGAAGCACGUUUAUGAAGUUUUAUUCUCCUGGAAAUUGUCUAUUCCGUUGUCAGGUACUAAACCGUACCUUUUGCUUUUCAACAUAAAGUCAAAAUUUUGUCACAUUACUAACUCUCUUCAACAUAAAUAUAGAUAAGAAAGACCAAUUAUGUAUGUAUUCACAUUUGCAUCUGUUUUAUCUCCUCAACAUAGAGAAAACAACAAACCAAAAACAUUUCAUCCGACCCCCGCAUCGCGGGGGCUCCCCCUCUAGUUUAUGAUAUUUAGAGGUUACAUAGAAACCAAUGAAAGUACAUUGUCAUUAAAGGAAUGUUCCAUUAAUAUUAAACCAAAAAACAUUUUAAAGUACAAUGGUAUAACCAUAAGAUUUAAAUGGUUUAAAAUGAAAAAAAGUAGGAUUCAUCAAUAUGAUGAAAAAAAUUAUCAAGUAAACAGCCGUUAAAGGGAAUGUUCCCUUCUAAAAAAUAACAUAAUAAUGAUAUUUACUGGUUAAAGGGAAACCAAUGAAAGUAAAAUGUUGUAGUAUUGACUAUUGAGUAGUUUUUUUUAGUUUAAGAGGAAUACCAACAAAGUUUUCAUUUUUUUUAAUACAAAUUAGAUAAAGCACAAAUAUGAAUCCAAUUUUUAAUUAUUGAUAUCAUAAUAAGGUAAAGUAUUAACAAAUUUGAUAGACACGUGCAAGCAAAUUAAGCACCCUCAAUCACAAUAUAAUUUCACCUGUAAAAGUAUCAAAGUAUCAAGCUCGAGAUAGCUUUAUUAGUUUCUCCAAAAAGGAUAAAAUACAGGCAUGGAAAAUAGCCUAAAGUCUUAUAUGGCAAUAUGUAUAUUAAUUUAAUAGUUCAGUUUUAAUAGGAUGUAGAUCGUUCCAUUUGUUCCACUAAGAUGCAUAGGAUGAUAACUAUGUACUUAUUUGAUAUUGAAAUGUCAUGACCUUUCUUUCUGGAGGUAUGUUUUCAAAUUAUUCAACCAAUUUAUGUACUUAUCUUUAUCUUUAAUGUGUUUAGAAUUUAGUGUUAUAAAAACAAAUAAAAUAAUUUAAAUUAGCUUAUUGCGUGCUUGAUGAAUUAAAGUUGAUUUUUCUAGGAUUCGUCAACACUAUUGACAUGUUUUAUGAAAAUGACUUUUGUUGUCUUAUUUGUUGACUCAAAAAGACUUUUGCAUUCUUUUUACCUGUACUUAUUAUAGCAUCCUAAUUUCAUUUAUUAUUAUCACAAAAUUGUACUUUCAUAAAUGUACCAAGUUAUAACAAUAUAAUCUAAAUGUAAAACAAUUUUCAUUUGUAUAAUAAGGUAAACUUUUAUAAGUAUAAUAGGGGUAAAAUGGGUAAAAUAGUAAUUUUAUCAAGAAAUAACAUAUUAGACUUCAUUUAUUUUACUUUUUAAAUAAAAGAACCAAUAUUUGCUAAUUAAGAGUGUAAAUAAAAAGUAUUUACAAAACAAAAAUUGAAUAUUAAAAUAAAACAUACUACUACACCAGUAGAUACGAAUAGCAAUACACUUCAAAGGGGAAAAUAAACAAUAGCAUUAUGCUUAAAGGAAGAGACAACAAAGGCAUUAUAGUUUUUAACUAAAAGGGGUAGCCAAAAAUCAUAAAAACCUUAUACUAAUUAACAACCUGGAUGAGCUGUAACAUUUGAACAAUAAUAACCCCAUAGGCAAUAUCGGCAAAAAAUUUAAAAUAUUAAGAAAAAAUUCAAAAAAAUAUUUACAAGCAAAUAAACUUCAAAAUAUAUUUUAUUUGAGUUAUAACCAAAAUCAACUAACUUGUCCACUUUAAAACAAUAAAAGUAUCCAAAAAUAUUCAAAACCAAUAAUAUUUCACAUCCUAAAUACCCUAAAAUAAAAAUCAUACCAAGCAAUCAAAAUAUCUUUAUAACCAAAACAAAUGAUCUAAAUAUAUUAAAUGUGUCUUAUAACCAAUAGCAACUCACUUUUCCAUUUUUGGAAUCAAGAGUGGAGUUUCCUCCGCGGUUGACUUUCUUUUAGCCUUAGAUGAACUUAAAUCAUCUCCAGAAUCAACAUCAUAAAUUUCUUGGAGGUUGCGCUUCAAAUCACCUGAUAUUUUGCUUGGACUUGUUGCGGUUGACUUAUCAACUGUUGAGGGUGUAAAACUUUCGUCUGUUUGUGAGAUCACAUCCUAAUUUUAAAAAAAAUAAUAAUAACUGUUUAAUUCCUAAAAAAAUAACUAAUAUAAUUAAAAGUUUAUAAAAUAAAAUGAAAAACCUUUUGAGCAGGCUGUACAACAUCAUCGGAUUCCAAAACAACUUGAUUUAAGGAGACAGAUUGAAUACUCUAAAAAAUAAAAUGGAAAUAUGUUAAUCGUUAUGUACUUUAACAGUAAAGAAUUGUAAAUUUUCAACAAUAAAAGAUUACAUACCAUAAGUUCUAUUUUACUUUCCAAUUCAGAAACAAUGGACAUAUCUUCUGUAACUCUGAGAACUGUAUAGAUGUUAUUAUAGUUGUUGACAUUGUAUUCUGUAAUAUCUACAACAAAACCAAACUUGCGGUUUUUCAACACGUUAAGUUGCAUUGGAAAUAGGGCAUCACUGUCUCCGGCCUGUAAGAUAUAUUUUAAUAAAUUAAAAAAAUAAAGUAAAUGUUUUCUGAUUUUAAGGUAUGAAUAAUAUACCGCAUCAUGUAUCUUUUUCAACUCGCAGGCACUUAUAUUUAACAACCUCUUUGCUUCCCUAUCAAAAAGAGUCAAUCCAAUGGUUCCAGUACAAUCUUGUACGUUGAUUGGAAUUAUAUACCUAAAACAAAAAAAAAUUAUGUCAUUGUUAGUGUUGUUUUAAGAUUGACAAAAUUAAUAGAAAUAAAUAUGUGUAUACUUUAUAACUGACUGAAAUUCAGAUUUUUUGCAUUGUGCAUUUGUACACUCGACAACCAUAGUUUCUGAAAUUCCCUCAGGGUUGGUAUACGAAUGAUUGGCUUUGGGAACAGGGAUUAUUUUUUUUCCACAUUUUUUGCAUGCUUCAUAAUACCAUGGUAGAUUCUGCCUUAUAUUAACAAUGGAAGCAACUAAUAAAAACUUCAUUUCCUGUAUCAUAUCAAAUGUAAAACUUAUUAAAAUAAAUUAUGCAAAAAUAAAAUGUAAAACAUAUCAAAUAAUGCAAUAUACCUUAAUUGGUUCGGUGAUCUCACAGACUGUUUUUAAUGGAAAAUUGCCCUUAAAGUCAUCUGUAUAUGAAGAAGAGUAGCUUUGAAGUGUAGUUAUGCUUUUUUCAGUUAUACCGAAAUUGUCAUGACAUUUCAACCUGUGAUGUUUAAUUUAGAUUCAUGAAUAUUAGGUUUUGUGUUUUUUUAAGUUAAAAUACAUUAUAAAAAAAUAAAAAACAAUUGGAAACUAACUUAUUUUUAAACUCAUUUAUUUCAUAAAUGUCAGAAUUUAUGAACAAUUUCGUUACUUCAAAAUGACUUUUAGCUUCACCAAGACCUGUAAAAAAUGUAUAUCCAAUUAAUAAAAAUUAUAUAAAAACAGUAAUUAUAAACAUCUAUAUAUAAAGACUGAAUACAAACCAUUCCAAAUGUUUAGCUUCAAAAACUGCAUCACGAUAACAACAAAAUUAACCGUCGGGUUAUUUUUUAGGUAUUCUGAAAUUUGAUAUGCUUGACUUCCAAAAAUAGUAACCUUCAGAUGUACAGAACUAAAUAAACCAUAAAAUAGUAUAUUAAUAUUAAUUUGUGAUUAAUUAAAGAUAAUAAAUAAUAAAUAAAUAAUAAAAUAUAAUCUCACUCUAGGUUGCUAAGAGUGAGUUUUAUAUAAUGCUUGGAUGGUACUGGAUUUGAAGUUUCAAGAGGCCUAAAUGACACGAUAUGUCCAAUAACAUCUACACAACAGAUAACACAACAUAAACUAUUGAAUUAAAAUCGUAAUAUUUAAAUAAUAAAAUGUAUAACCAAAAAAACAAAUGAUAAAAAAUGAUUUUAUUAAUAUUUUAUGACUAACCAAAGAAUGUGUCUCUUGGGCAUGUUUGUUCUAUGAUAGAAUUAAAGUCAACAAACAUAAAUCCAUUGACCGGACCCGAGAAAUCAUCACAUUUUUUUAGGAUGCUUUUCCAAUCCAAAGUUAAGGUCUGUUUAUGACCUGUAUAACUAAAACCAUUAGUAACAGCAGCCAUAUUGGGUUUUAUAACUAUAUAACUUUCAUCUUCCUUUAAAAGAUGACGAAAUCUGGAGAAAUUCUGAUUGAAGACACGAGCUUGGUAUUGUGUACCCUGUUUAAAAAAAAAUUAAAAAUUAUUAUGUUCAUGAAACAUGUCUAAUAUUGAAUGAUGAAUAAAAAAUAUAUCAAAUACAACAAACCUCCUCGUCCAUGAUGAUCAUUUCAAUCGAACAAACUUUAUUAUUUCUGACAAAGUUCCAAAUUUUAAGCACCCGAACCUUGAUAUGCGAUUUUUCAUCUAUCUGGUCAAUGUUAUUUAGGUAAACCUUAUUUCCUAUUUCCAUUUUCUGCAAGAAAUUUAAUCAUUAUAGAAUUGUAAGGAAAAUUAGCAACCUUUUAGAAUGUACAGAACAUCCUAACCAAUAAGUAAAACAGAAAAAUUAAAAAUCAACACAUGACAAUAACAACUGACUUAAUGUACUCAUAAAUUUUUAAAUUCAAUAAUUCAUUUUAUAAUAAAAUGGAAUACAAACAAAAAAAAAUAAUUCAUAUGAAAUAAUGUUUUAGAUUGAAUAAAAGUUUAUAUAAUAAGAUGGAACACAAAUAUAAAAUUAACAUGAAAACGACAAUUAUACCGAAAAUGCCCCUGCAACAUACUAACACUAACAGAUAACAUAACAAUGAGUAAAACAGAAAAAUUAAAAAUCAACACAUGACAAUAACAACUGACUUAAUAUACUCAUAAAUUUUUAAAUUCAAUAUUUUUUUGAGAUUGUAUUUAGAUAAAUACAAACAAAUUUUAAAAUUUCAUACCAUCAAAACAAAAGUUACUGUGCACAUCUGAAAAAGACUAUUUUUAAUUUUUUUUAAAGAAAAUGAACUUGUAAUGUUCAUUAGUUUUUCGUCUUUUAAACUGAAAAGGUAGAAGAAGUAGACGAUUAAGAAGAAUUACAAAAAAGAAGAAGAAGAAUAGAAAUCAUACAAUGAGAACGUGAUAGAUACCGAUAAAUAAGAACAUGAAGGGAAUAGAAAUAUUUGUAAUUCUGAUUUUUGAAUACACUAACCUGAUAUUUAAUUCUUGAAGCGUUGCAGAAUCACAAAGAAUGAAGAAGAAUACGUUUGUUGUGGUUUCUAUGGAGCAGAAUUGUUAUGGAGCAGAAUGGUAAAAACAAAAUAACCGUAUAAAUGAUAUUUACGUUUGCUGAAAAAAUACUGCAGAUUUUUAGGGAUUUAAUGAUUGCAAUAUAUUUAAUUUGCAAUCAAAAUAAACAAACUUUCAAAUUUAAUCGUGAAUUUCGAAUCUGAUUAUUGAUUAACAUAUUUUUUCAAAUUAUUUCCAUAAUCUUUAUUCAUUUAAAAUUAAUGCUUGAAUAUUUUGAAUGCAGUUGACAGCUAAAAUUUCCGGAUUUAUUGCAUCAGUUUGAACUUUGAUUCAAUUUGGAUUCAAUGGCAUUUACGUAAAUAUAGAUGAAUAAAUGAGCGGGAAAACUCGAUUUUGGGGGUCCUUAGAGAGUGACACGUGGCAGAGUUCUACUUAUUUAUUAGAAUUAGGAUUAUUCNNNNNNNNNNNNNNNNNNNNNNNNNNNNNNNNNNNNNNNNNNNNNNNNNNNNNNNNNNNNNNNNNNNNNNNNNNNNNNNNNNNNNNNNNNNNNNNNNNNNNNNNNNNNNNNNNNNNNNNNNNNNNNNNNNNNNNNNNNNNNNNNNNNNNNNNNNNNNNNNNNNNNNNNNNNNNNNNNNNNNNNNNNNNNNNNNNNNNNNNNNNNNNNNNNNNNNNNNNNNNNNNNNNNNNNNNNNNNNNNNNNNNNNNNNNNNNNNNNNNNNNNNNNNNNNNNNNNNNNNNNNNNNNNNNNNNNNNNNNNNNNNNNNNNNNNNNNNNNNNNNNNNNNNNNNNNNNNNNNNNNNNNNNNNNNNNNNNNNNNNNNNNNNNNNNNNNNNNNNNNNNNNNNNNNNNNNNNNNNNNNNNNNNNNNNNNNNNNNNNNNNNNNNNNNNNNNNNNNNNNNNNNNNNNNNNNNNNNNNNNNNNNNNNNNNNNNNNNNNNNNNNNNNNNNNNNNNNNNNNNNNUAUAUAUAUAUAUAAGAUUAAAAAACUUUCAUUUUUCCUACUAAAGAGUUGAAUGGCCAUUGAACUCCAAAUCCAUUGAAUGCCAAGGUGGCAUCUACUAUGGUAGAGUUUCAUCCAUUGAAUGACAACUAGACUUGUCACCUCAUUCAACCCUCUUAUUGAACUCACCACUGUGGAUGCUCUUAUUACCACUAAAUGAUCUCUGGUGCCAGUUUCCUUUUAUUAAUUCUUUGUUUUCAACCAAAAUCUACGUUGUGAAAUAUAUUGAAGAGUCACUUUAGUCUCAAUUCCUUGGUGGUUUGUUUAUUAGUCAUGGUUGUUCUUUCUGUUUUAAACGAGAGUUUUAAGCCGGUACAUUGUUGCAUUAGUUUAAACAAUAAUUUUAGUGAACAUAUUUUUAUGAAAUUUAAGUUAUACCCACUUGUAAUUCCUUACCCACAAUAGCAAUGUACUUUGCAUAUUUUACUAAUAAUCUUAUGGUAAAAAUAUAGUGCAUUGCCCAAAUUAGUAGGUAACUAUGACAAACACACAAAAGUUAUCAUCAUUAGAUCAUCUGGUUCUUAAUUUCCUCACAAAUAAGUUAUUAUCUCGGCAUACCCACAUCACUUUACUGGGUAAAGCAAUAUAAGAUAUAUGAUUUAAAAGCAUUCCAUUUCACUUUAUUGGAUAAAGUAACAGUAGAAGAUAUAUGAUUUAAAAGCAUUCCACUCACUUUAUUGGGUAAAACAAUAGUAGAAGAUAUAUGAUUUAAAAGCAUUCCGCUUGGAGUUUGCCCAAUUAAAGGUUAUCAGGGGAGUCAUUCACAUUCAAGACUGAAGGUUUAAUUCUUAAUUAAAAGUAAAAAAGCAUUACUUAGGGUUUGUUUCUUUUUUUUACCAAAUGUGUUGAAUGGGUAAAGCACUCAAUCUAAACAACUAAACUUGUAAUGGCUUAAUGGGUUAAGUCUUAAGCAGAUAGAAAUCAAACGACACAAAAUAUCACAACAUCAACAAUUCUUAUUCAAGUAAGAAUCAGUUGGUUUUCAUUUACUUACAGUUGAAAACUCAUUGCAAUAACUCUCAACCCUCUUAUUAUGGACUAAUCUAUCUACUGAACAUAGAACAAAUCAAGAAUGAAAAAUAACCCUAACUUCAGUAGGAACAGAUACAGACCGAAUAUAGAAGAUCUAGAUAGAAAGGACGAAGCCAUUGUAACGUAAAAUGAAUACAAUAUGAACCAAAACACAGUCAAGGCACAUAUUUAUACAACGGGUCAACCUAAGUAUGAAUCAAAUAAAACCCACGCCUCAUUCUCCUUGAUAAGCUUCAAUUAGAACUCCGCAGCCCAGAAGAUUUAUCUACUUUGUACAAAUAACCCUUCCUGCAAAUAUCUAACCAACAUGAGAAAUACAAACUAACAUAAACUACCCUAAAUAAAUAAUAAAUACAUUUUAAUGAUACAUAAGAUUAUCAAUGAAUUAUAAGUUUGAAGGAAUUGACAUCAACUAUCUGAACACCCCUCCUCAAACUUAAAAUUCAAAGAAAGCAUUAACAAACUCCUUGGAAAGGAUCAACAAGACCCAACUUUUGACAAAUCCAUUCGUGUUGUGAAACACUUAAACCCUUAGUAAAAAUAUCAACCAAAUUAUUUUCAGAACUAAUUUCAAAAACCUCAACGAUUCCUUUUGAAACACGGUCUCUAAUAAAAUGAAAAUCAACAUCAAAGUGCUUAGUUUUAUCAUGAAAUAUUGGAUAAAGAACAAGCUUUAUAGCUGAUUCAUUAUCACAAAAGAUUGGAACAAGAGUUUUAUUCUUAAUACCAAGAUCAAAAAGAAUUUUCAAAUUCCAAAUAAUUUCACAAGAUACAAUACUCAGGGCUCGAUAUUCAGACUCAGUUGAUGAGCGAGAAACAGUCUUCUGUUUUUUACUCUUCCAUGAAAUAAGACUAUUACCAAAAAAAAUACUACAUAACCUGUUACAAAUUUCCUUGGAACAAGACACUCUGCCCAGUCUGCAUCAACAAAACUUUUAAGACUUAAAGAAUCCGUUUUCACAAUAGAAAAACUUCUUCCAGGAUUACCCUUUAAAUACCUCAAAAGUCUUAUAGCAACAUUAAAAUAAGACUUCAAAACUUGCACAGAAUAAGAAAUAUCUGGCCUGGUAAUGGUUAAGUAAAUAAGCUUACCAACCAAUUUUUGAAACAAAAUAAUAUUAGGUAUUAAACUAUCAUUUUUAUCUAAACCAUCGUCUUUAACAACAACAUUAUUAUCCAAAGGAAUUUUAACAGGUUUACAACCUAACAUCCCAAAUUCAUAAAUUAACUCAAUGUCGUAUUUCCUUUGACAUAAACAAAUACCAUUAUUAAUAUCAACAACCUCAAUACCCAAAAAAUAUUUUAACUUUCCCAAAUCUUUAAUUAAGAACUUAAACUUUAAGAGAUUAUUUACUUUAUUAAUUUCAUCAACACUACUACCUGUAAGAAUAAUAUCAUCAACAUAAACUAAAAUUGCAAGAAAACAAUUAUUAUCAGACUUCACAAAUAGAGAAAAAUCAUUUAUACUUUGUAUAAAACCAAAUUCAAACAAAGCACCACAUAGUUUCUCAUUCCAUUUUCUAGGAGCCUACUUAAGUCAAUAUAAAGACUUUAACAACUUACAGACCUAAUUAUUAUUUUUAUCAUGAUAUCCUAGAGACAAAGACAUAUAAACACCUUCAUAUAAUUCACCAUAUAAAAAGGCAUUAUUAAUAUCAAGUUGAAACAAUUUCCACCCAGAAUUGACAGCAACAAUAAUAACAGUUCUAACCGUAACCAUUUUAGCUACAUGAGAGAAGGUUUCCUCAUAAUCUAAACCUUCUCUUUGAUUAUAGCCUUUAGCUACCAACCUAGCUUUAUACCUUUUAACCUAACCAUUUGAUUUAUAUUUAAUCUUAUAAACUCAUUUGCAACCAAUUGGUUUUCUAUCAGAAGGUAAAUCACAAAUAAUCCAAGUCUGAUUUCUAUAUAAAGCUUCCAUUUCCUCAUUCAUAGCUUUAACCCAAUUGGAAUCUAAUGAGGCUUCAUAAUAUGAAUUAGGUUCAACAUUCUUAUUAAGAUUAGCCACAAAACACAUACUUUCAAAAUCCAAAAAAGAAUAGUUAACAGAUUUCUCAAUUCCAUAUUUAUACUUUCCUUUAAUAAUAAAAUAACUAAACUUUUUUGGAAAUUUAGAUUCUCUAUGAGACCUCCUCAAAGACUGACUAUCAGAAGAAGUUGAAACAACAUAUUCCUCAGAGUUAUCUAAAAAUUCAGAUAUAACUGGAUCAGGUUGCGAACUAUGUGUUUCACAACCUGGAGAACCUUCCUAAUUAGGAAGAGUUGCAAUUCUAUUUAAACUACCUUCAAGACUAGAAUCAGUUACACUCAUAGGUUGAACAACAUUAAAAUCACCCUCCUGAUAGUUACCAUCUAAAUUCCUAGUGUCUUGCUAAUCAUCAAGAAUAUCAUAUAACAAUAUCUCAUCAUUGGAAAAGGGAUCCCAUGGAACAUGAUCACUCAAUGAAGGAGACUCAAGAAAAUCAGGAAAAGCAUCAGAAUAACCAAUUAAAACACACUUUUCAGACCUUUCAGAAAAUUUAUCUUUAAUAUCAAGUUUAGUUGAAAAACACAAACAUCCAAAUACUCUAAUUUUAUAAAAAAACAGACACAUGUUUAUAAACAAGUUCAAAAGGAGUUUUACCAUUUAAAACAAAAGGAGUCCUAUUUAUUUAAAAAAAAACAGUUGUUAGAACAGCAUCUCCCUAAAAUUUUCUAGGUAAACCAGAUUGAAAUAAAAGAGACCUAGAAACAUUUAGAAUAUGUCUAUGUUUUCUCUCUACAACACCAUUCUGUGGAGUAUGAAUACACGAAGUUUGAUGAACAAUGCCCUUUCCUUCAAGAAAAGUUUUCAUAUUAAAAUUCACAAACACAGUCCCAUUAUCACAUCUGAUCGUUUUAAUUUUAACAUUAGAUUGAUUCUCAAUCAAGGCAUGAAACUCACGAAAACAAAAUAAAACAUCAAUUUUAGAUUUUAAAAGAUAAAACCAAGUAGCUCUAGUAAAAUCAUCAACAAUUGUAAGAAAAAAUCUAAAACCACUAGCAGCAAGAACUUUAUAAAGACCCCAUACAUCCAGAUGAAUAAGUUCACCAAGUUUACUAGACUUAUGUUCACUUAAUGGAAAAGGUUCUCUUAUUUGUUUAGCCUUAUGACAAACUUCACAUGGCAUGACAUUUUCAUUUUCAAAUUUAAGAAUCAGUUUUAACACAUUUAAAGCCUUAUCAGCAGGAUAACCUAGCCUAUUGUGCCAAGUAAGUUUAGAAACAAAACAUUUAGAACUAUAAACAAAAUUUGACUUACCUAGAGAACUAUUUUUAUUUUCAAGAUAAUAAAGACCUCCAAAUUCUUUACUAGUGUAACAUCCAAAAUUUCAAAACAAUUAAAACUUUUCAAAAUCAUCCAUUUUAUUAACAUUAUUACAAAAAGGUUUUCAAUACAUUAUUUAACAGAGUAAUUUCCCAGGUUCAUAUCAUAAAACACCAACGCGAGGAACGGUACGAUCACGCCUUUGCCUUGCCACAGACUCCUGAGAACCUGAAACAUAAAACCACGACUGUAAGCCCGAAAGCUUAGUGAGAUAUCCCCAGAAUACCAACCACAUAUACGCCUUUCCAGGCCCUGACCUUCCGGUCCAUGUGUCUCAGGGGACUUCCGUCCCUACUGGGUAAACCUUCCGGUCCUACCCACGCCGACCUUCCGGUCCAUCACACAACAUAAUCGCCUUCCGGCCCAUAACAUAUUGCCUUCCGGCCCAUAAGCAUAAAAUGCACAUAUAACAUAACAAGCAAUCAUAUAGCAGUUCAUAGACAACAAUCGAUCAACAGAUCACAUAUCAUAGCAUUACUCUAACAAGAUACCGGUCUAGCCGGUCACUAUCAUAACAUUACCCUAUGAACCAGUCAACAUACUAAAUGCAUACAUACGCCUUUCCAGGCCAUGACCUUCCGGUCCACAUAGUAAUGCCUUCCGGCCCAUAACAUGUAUUGCCUUCCGGCCCAUAACAUAUAACAACUGACAACUACCCGGAUUUCCAUCCGAUAAAAGGGUUGGCAUUGGUGCCAUAAACCCUAGCGAUAUAGUGAGGAUAACUCACCUCGAAACUGCCGACUGAACAGAUAGCUCAAGCUGCUCCGAUCACUGAUACGAUCUCCACCUCUGGACAGUCACCAAUGCACUGAACUCAAACAAUAACAACAAUUACCAAAAUACCCCUGGAACCACUGGUAAAUCCUUGGUCAAAGACAAGGUCAAAGUCAACCCCUGACUGACCCUACUCGCCGAGUCAACCCUAUGACUCGCCGAGUCCCCAUACUCAGAACUUCGCUUAACCCGCGACCUAACUCGCCGAGUCACCCCAAGACUCGCCGAGUUCAACGACUCUGAGUCCACUCGCCCUUGACUCACCGAUUCCUUAAGAUUCCCUUUCUACACGUCGAGUAUCCCCUUUUUACUCGACGAGUUCCUCCUGGAAGAAUCAUGGGGCCACCCCGACUCAACUCGUCGAGUCUGAAGAACGACUCGACGAGUCCCAGUUAAUCUUCAAGCUACUCGUCGAGUCUGAAGAACAACUCGGCGAGUCCAUGUCAUGCAGAUGAGCAACUGCUUCCUGAAUUACGUAUGGUCCCGAGAUAUACAAUCAUGGGACUUUCUGGACUUCUAAACAUCUUAUUACUGGGGUAUAAACGUCUGGGUAAUAACAUAAUAACCCAUCUAAUCACUAAGUGGGUUUCAUAAACCCUAGAUUCGUAUACACAUCAAAAUAACAGAAAUGGUCCGAGUGUUACCUGAAAACGCACUCUCUGUGUCCCCCAAACCUCAGGACUCGAUCCUCCUUGAUAUUCCUUUGGCCAAAUUCUUCUUCUUCUUGCCUAACAAGUUCUUCCAAGUUCCAAUAGCUUUCUCCCUUGCUCUAGACGUCCACAACGAUUAGGGUUCUUCUCAAUCGACCAAAAGACGGACAAUGACGGCCUAAGGGGCGUUAUAUACAAUCCAAAACCGAACGGUUAGGGUUUCUGCUGAACAGCGUCGACUCGUCGAGUCCAGUCGCGAACCCGCGACCAAGUCUGCGAUCCUACUCGGCGAGUCUAGGCUCCAACUCGCCGAGUCCCCUCUUAAAUCACCCCCAAAAACAUAAUUAUAUCAAUAUCUGAAAUUCCGGGCUGUUACAACUAGUCUCCCCAGUCAUCUUGGAUAGAGAAUCCUGAACAUAGCAACUAUUUUCAUCAAAAGUGACUUUACAAUUGUUUUCCUUUACACAACUUAUGAACAGAUAAAAGAUUGACAUGAAAAUCAGGAACAACAAAAACAUCGGUUAAGAUGAUAGAAUUUGAAAGAUUCAUGUUUCCAAUUUUGUCAAUCUUAACAGUGGAUCCAUUAGGAUGAUCCACCUUUAAGUUAAACUUAGAAACAUCAACCAUAUCAAAAAGUUGUGAUUCAGAACCAGUCAUAUGUUUGACUAGCUCCUGAAUCAACAACCCACCUUUUGUUUUUAAAAGAAACAUUAUUACACAUCAUACCUGCCAUAUUGGCAUUUCCAGUAUUACCUUUUGAAGACUAUUUCUCAUUAAGAAGAGCCAAGACUUUAGAAUAUUGUUCACUUGUUAAAAAAUGUUGAUCAAGCUUAUUAGAAGAGGUUACUGAAAAACUACAGUUUUCACUAGCAUGUGAAUUAACAUGGGAAGCAGUUCCAGAUGAAGAGACUUUUUUAAAGUCAGAUUUAGGUUUGAAAUCUUUGGGAUAUCCAGUAAGUUUAUAACACUUUUCAAUUGUGUGGCCCUUUAUACCAUAAUUUUUGCAAACCAAACUAUGAUUUCUACAUUUAAAUUUUCGGUUUAUCAUUAAUUUUCCCAGAAAAAGCUGAAGAAGAAUUGUUCUUGUUAGACAAAACAGAAGAAGAUCCAUUUCUUUGAUUAGACUCUUCUCUAGACACAACAAAAAAAACAAUUUUAACAUCAGGUAAAGGUUCCAUUAACAAAAUGUGACUUUUUACCUGACUAAAUGACUUAUCUAAAUGAAACAUCCCAAAAAUACGACCCAAAAUUUUUUGUUUUAAUAUUACUAAAAAAUUGCAACGUCAAUUAUUUGAUAAUAAAACCACGAAUCAUAUGUCUCAAAAUGCCAUAGUAAAUGUAUCAAUUCAAAAACUGAAGUUAAUAUCAUAUCGAAAUAUCUAAAUAAAACUCCCAGGAAUAAACUGCAACUGUGGUGUGUGUCAUGCCAUCAAUCCGAGCCCUUCCCCUUGCUUGCGGAAGUACCUGAAACCAAAACUGAAACUGUAAGCACAAAGUUUAGUGAGCUCCCCCAAAUUACCACAUAUCAUACAAUUACAUAUAAUGCACAUAUUGGGCCUUGCCCACUGCAUCAGACCAAAGUCCGGACUAACCGGGGCCUUGCCCCUGUAUCAGACCGAAGUCUGGAAACUGCAUCGGGCCGAAUCCCAGACUAACUGGGGCCUUGCCCUCUACAUCGGACCGAAGUCCGACUAAUUGCAUCGGACCGAAAUCCGGACUAACUGGGGCCUUACCCCCUGCAUCGGACUGAAGUCUGGCUAACUGCAUCGGACUGAAGUCCGGACUAAAUGGGGCCUUGCCCCCUGCAUCGGACCGAAGUGCGGCUAACUGCAUCGGACCAAAGUCCGGACUAACUGGCUGAACAUAGCAUAGCAUAAUCAUAACUACUAGCAUAAACACAUUUACUACAUACUGCAUUGGACCGAAGUCCGGAACACAUAACACAAAAACAUGCUUCAAUCACAAAGACAUAAGGCACACUGAACUACUGCAUCAGACUGAAGCCCGAAACUACUGCUAACUAGCCGGGUCGGCAUUGUGGCCGUAGACCCGUUCUUACUGGAAGGAAAACUCACUUGAACUAUUGAACUCGGCCGGUAACCCUCCGGCUGCUAACCGACAACUCUCUGAAAUGUUGUUCCUCUAGCUCCCUGAGCAACCAAUACCAAUAACAACACUUAGACUAAACUGUCUUCCCGAGGUCAAUUAAGUCAACUUUGGUCAAAGUCCUGGUCAAAGUCAACCUUCCUGAUUGACCCUACUCGCUGAGUCAACCCGUUGACUCGUCGAGUUCUUAUACUCAGAAAACUCCCAUAACACGACUCAACACGCCGAGUCGCCCCAGGACUCGUCGAGUUGAACGAUCUCUGAAUUCCGUCUUGACCAACUCACUGAGUCACCAACUGACUCACAGAUCCGAAGCUUAACCAAAAGAGGUUGGGGUUCUGCGACCUGACUCGCUGAGUCCAAGAACAGACUCGCCGAGUCCAAGGCAAUCUUCAACAGACUCGCCGAGUUGUUCUUCCAACUCGUCGAGUCCAUGCACAUGUUCAUACAACUCGUCGAUUCCAUGCACAUGUUCAUACAACUCGCCGAGUACCCCCAUGUGACUCGCCGAGUCUCUCCAGUUCUCAAUCCAUUCAGAGGCUUUUUGAGCCAUGUAAGGGCUCCAAACCAUAGAUCCACCCCUCUAUAAUCUAACCCUCACAUAAAGUUGCAAACUUUACGUGAAACCAAAGAGAUAUAGGCCUAAAACACACUAUGGCUAGGGUUAAGGACUAAGGGGCUUCACCAACAACUCUUAAACAGAUACUUUAUGACAUUAUGGACCAUCACAAGCCUAGAUCUGAACUCCAAACCCGAAAUAGAUCUCAACAAGUUAAAGAAUUCCCAAAACAACCACCAAGGAUGAACCAAAAAGGAAAUAGCUCAAGAUAAGGGCUCCUUACCUCAAAGAUGUGCCCAAAACUGAUGUAGAUCCCAGAUCUAUACAAGCCCCUUCCAUUAAUUUCCUCUUCCAAGCCCCAAUCUCCUCAAUAAUGAAGCCUCACACGAAUUUAGGGUUUUUCUGGAACUCUCUGGGGGAUUAGGAGGCUGUGAGAGGGACAUAAAGUCCUUUAAAUAAGGUGCAAACCCUAAGAUUAGGGUUUUCUCAUUCCAGCACCAACUCGUCGAGUCCAACUUUCGACUCAACGAGUUGGUCACUUAAUUCGCGAUCCAAACCUGCUCCGACUCGGCGAGUAAGUAUACCUACUCGUCGAGUCCCUUCUUCAAUUUACACUUUAAGCCCGUAACUCAGACUUCUGAAAUUUGGGAUGUUACAACUCUCCCCCACUUAAAUUAGGCUUCAUCCUUGAAGCCUACUGCAGGAUACGCUUUCGAACUAACCACUUGCACUACAAACUCCGAAUUCCUAAAUAACUCAGGUCCUUCCAAACCCUACCACUGCACGCCUUUUUAAAAUAACUUCUUCUCGCGUGGCAGCCUUGCCUAAAACUCCAUGCCGACCACCGGCCUCAAAGUCGUCACAUAACAACCAAGUAUCACCCGGGAUACUGUCCCUUUCCUGACAGGAACACACUUUCAUGACUUGCGAAAGUUAUAUACCAUAAUAAUUCAGUGGGUCCUCUCCCGGUGCCAAACUAUCCUCCCUUUUUCCAUAUCUGCCGAUAACCUGAGCAACUCGCAAGGUUGGAACUCAUUUUGUCCUCUUCAUGAAUCCAUUCCUUUCAUGCUAACUACCCCAGGUUCUUACUAUAAAAACAGAAUUCACAGAUCCACUUAUCCCUAUGAUUCACUUAUACUUGGCCAUAAGUUAGAUAAUCAUGCUAUGAGUGACUUGCCACUCCACAAGCUAUCCAUGAAAAUCCAAAAUACCAUUACCGCUGGAGACCCAAGACUGUCUGAAAAGACUGAACUGCCUGAUCACUAACUGCCUGAACACUGACUGCCUGAAACACUGAACUACCUGAUCACUGACUGCCUAAAACGUUGACUGCCUGAAACACUAAACUGCCUGGAAUACUGACUGCCUGAACACUGAACUGCCUUCAACAGCAUGAUGCUACAUGGAUGCUUUCCAACAUCUCUCGAGACCUUCCUGGUCUCACUUCCUUCGUCAGUCAUCUGAAAAUCGGGUUCCAACCUGGCUGCGGGGCCAAAGGACUCCCUAUUUAUCCGCCUCACACGAACUAUGAAUAAAAUUCUUCUCUAGAACUAGUUGCCACUAGUUAUCAUGUCAUUGAGACUUUAACAACCUCCUGAUCCAAUCGAUCGGGUCUGUGCUUCGAAUCCUGAUGCUACCAAACCACGGCUAAACGUGACUGCUACAUGACCAAUUGUAGCCUUAUGUCAUAAAUGACCUUAAGCCGUCCACUGCUUCCUUGCUCUCAUAACUGUAGUGGCGCUUCUACAGUCUUAUCUCUGGCUUAACCAAAUCUAACCCGCUUGGGUAAAUUCCGAAAUCCAAUAUAUGGAUUUCCAUCUCCUCACUACCACACCCGAACUGGUGGGUACUACUGUCCUUCCCGCGUCCUUACCACGUACUCACGCUAUCGACUAACCUAGUGAAUGCUACGGCUACACCUGCAGACUUACAACACUCUAAUACGAUCUGACUGCUAGUGAAUGCUACGGCUAGAGGUACACCCAGUUUCACUCCCUUACAAAAAUGCACAGUCGAACUUCGUCAACCAGCAUAUGAAAUCCCUCCUAAUACAUUAGACGAUAGUUUUAGGAUGUUCACUAGGAUCACAUGAGAUAGUCUCCACUAUUUUUGCAUAUAUGUGAUUCAGAUUUACGGUCCAAAAUAUUUAUGUAAACCUAUAAGCAAUGACAUCCUAUAAUUGCAAGCUCAUCAUGCUAGUGUACAUGGUUUUCCGAGAAUGUUAGCAAGUUUAGAUUGUCUUCAUUAGGCAUGGGUAAACUGUUGGAUUAGUGUCUAAGUCCAUAACUAUUUUGAUAUGUACUUGACCCGAUGGUGCAUGGUCCUUUUGGGUUGCCUUCAUCUAAGCAACUUGAUAGGAUGAAUUAUGGAGAGAGAGGAUUAACUAUGAUUUAUUAAUAUAUUAUGAGAAUAAUAUAUUAAAGGAGAAAUCAUAUUGUUUAAUUAAUAUUAGUCAAUAAUUAAUUAAGAAUUAAAUUUUGUGGCUAAAAGAGAUUAAUUAAACUUAGGGGGCUGGAAUAGUAAUUAUAAGAUAAUUGUAAUUGGGCUAUGGAUCACCUUGGAAUAUAGGUUGGAUGAAAUCUAUGGGAAGCCCAUAUGAUUUUCGUCCAAGGCACGUGCAGAAGGGGUCCAUGGGCUGCUUAGGGCUUAAGCAGUCAAAUUAGGGUUUCCUUGUUAGAUAACCCUAAUUGCCUACCUAUUUAAAGAACCCUUGAGACCCAAAAACGUGGCCAACAUAUUCUUUAGGGUUUCCAUCCGUUUUUGGGUGUCUCUUCUCUUCUCAUUCUUCAUCCUCUUGCUCUUGGUGUUUGUGAGCCAUUAGAGGAGUGACACUUGUGACUCUAAGCUUUUUGAAGCCAUUACAAGGAGGAUUUGAGAUUGUUAUUGCUACAUAACAAUCAAGGUAAGAUCUAAACCCUGUUUACAUAUAUGAUUUCGAUUAUAGUAUGCUAGAUCUAGGGUUUAAAGUCUUGGAUGAAUGCAUGUACAAUAGAGAAACCUAGAUCCAAGCAUUAGGGUUUACAUGAGCACAUAGGAUGUUCUUAUGGCUAAAACCCAUCAAAAACUUCCCUAUGUUACACCAUGGGGAAUUUACGUGAGGUGAUCAUUGUUAGGUGCAAUUCGUGCACCUUUUUGCACACCUUUUAGUCCCAUUUCAUGCAUCUAUUUAAUAUAAUUGUUCAUUCUUUUUCUUGCAUUUCAUCAUAUUCAUGUUAGUCUCUAGAACAACCUUAUUUGCAUACUUUUAUGUCUUUUUCAGGUAAAUCGGAGGUUGGAACGCGCUUUGGGAAGUGUCGGGAAGCAUUGGUGAAGAUUUCGGGAUGAUCGGGCGAAGAACGAAAAAGUUGGAAAAAUCAAGUUUGGAAUUGGAGUCAGAAAGGUACACAGGGCGUGUUGAAUUUACACUGAAAAGUGGGCAUGGGGCGUGUUUGACCAAGAAGAAGCUGUUGACCAUGCUGAACACGGGUUGUGUCAGUUUAGUGCAAAUCAACACGGGCCAUGUUGGCUGCUGAACACGACCCGUGUCAGUUUAGCCUAUUUUAACACGGGUCGUGUUCGACCCAAAAACCAACUUUUGGCAGUUUUUCCUAUCUUUCAUAUUACGGGUUGAGGGCCAUUUUUACACACACACAACAUAUCAGAGCACCAUUGGAGAGGAGAAUUCGAAGGUUUUUGCAAGGGUUUGUCCGUUAAUCAUUUGGAAACAUUAAUUCUCGUUUUUGUAAGUUGUAAUUACACUUAAUUUCAUCUUUUAGACUUGUGAUCUUGUUCUAGCCAUGUGUGGCUAGAACCCUAACUUCUCCAAUUUCAUGUUUUGACUUUUUGGUUGUGAAUCAAAUCAUAUGACCUGAUGUUUGUGUUUAAUUUCUAUCUAGUGAAACUGAUUUUACUUCAAUCGAAUGUUUGAUUCUAAUAAUGAUUCUUAUUGGCCAUUUGAAUUAGGGUUAGGUCAUUCAAGUUAUUCAUUUUGCAAAAUCCGUAAUUGUUUUGUGAAUUGAACUAAGUAACAAGCAUUAAAUUGAUUUCUUAUGAAUGAAUUUAGUGUAAAUCUUUUCACACAUUCUUACGCUCCCAAGCUUAUGAGGAGUAUUGGGUGUUGUUGGGAACAUUCACAAUAAGCUUAAUGCAAUCUUUUAAUCUACUUCUAAGAGUUUGUUUAGAUUAGGUUAGUAAGGUUAGGAUUAAUCAAAGAGCUUGUUUUGAUUGAUUAAUGUGGUGAAUGGAAAGUGUUAGAGCUUGUUAACACUUUCAAGUACCAACGUAGAUAGAAUGAAACAAAUGUCUUGUCAUCUUUGAUUCACAUUGUUGGAUUGUCAUACAUGGAGUUGGGGUCCUUACAAAAUCUGAACUUAAUUCAUUCGUUUAGUUGUCUACUCGUGUUUUAAAUUUGUUUGUUUAGUAAUUGCAUUCUAAACCCCCUUAUUACUGUCGGUGACCAUAGUACCUUGCGCAAAGAGGUAUAGACUAAUUAUCCUGUGUCUCUGUGGAUCGACCAUGCUUGCCUUAUACUACCUUUUAGUGCAAUACAGUGUGAUUCUUUUGGAGUAUAUCAUACCCCAUUAUUUGUUGGGUCUGACACGCCUAACAAUCAUGGUCACCCAACAGUCAUACUUGAAGUGAUGGUGUUGCAGGAUCUGUGGAUUUGGCAUGAUUUUUUUGGUUCUCCUGGUUCGAUUAACGACAUCAAUGUUCUUAAUCGUUCACCGAUAUUCAAUAACUUAUAUGACAUUUCGACACCUGAUUCUUUUUUUCAAGUGCAUGGAACGCCAUAUAAGUAUGGUUAUUAUCUUGUUGAUGUGGUCUAUCUUGAAUAUGUUGUUUUUGUUAAAUCAUUUACAUAUCCAAAUGAUUCUAGAAGGAAAAAAUUCAAGAGGGCUCAAGAGAGAGCUAGGAAGGAUGUUGAGAGAGCCUUUGGAGUGCUUAAGAAAUGUUGGUACAUACUAAAAAACCAACACUUUUUAUGGAGGAGGCAAAACUUCAUGAGGUCAUGUAUGCAUGUAUCAUAUUACAUAUAUGAUUAUUGAAGAUGAAGGAAGAGCAAUAUGUACGUAUGACACAUAUGAAACCAUCCCCGAGACACUACCAUUAGAGAUUGGUGGCGAUAAAUACAUGGAUAGGAAAGCAGAGAUACAUAACAAUGAAACAUUUCACAAUCUUCGCAUGAACUUGGUGGAACACCUUUAUGGGAUUCAAAACAUUGAUCUCAAUUUGGAUCCACCAAAAGACAAUGAAGACGAAUUCUGAGAUGAAGACUUUAUGUAGUAUGUUUUAGUUAUUUUAUUUGUGAACUUUUUUGUUUCAAUUAUUUGUGGUUUUCAUUGUUUAUUUUUUAUUUUAUUUUUAAUUCUACUAUGUAUUUUUUUAUUUGAAUUAAUAAAAUUUGAAUUUUUAUUUAUAUUGUUAUUAUUAUUAUUAUUAUUAUUAUUAUUAUUAUUAUUUUGAAAAAAAAGUGUGCCACCACGGCUAGUGUGUGGCGUGACAAAGAAGCACAUUUUUGUGGUAAAAAAUGACAUGGUGGUUAUGUGAUAGUGAAAGAGUGUGAUAAGAAUAACACCAUACCCUCCAGCCUUAGGGUAGGAAUCAAAUCGCUUUUGAAGUUGCAGCACAUAGCAGGUCCAAAUGAGAGGAAACAGAUGGUGCACGCCACUCCGAUGUAAAAGAGAAGGAGACAAACAAAAUCUCUGGAAAUGUCUAAUUGACCCUAGACUUAUAUAUUUCAUUUAUAUUAAUUAAAUUCGUUUUAUUAUUUUCUUUCUUUUUAAUAAAUGUCAAAAUUGAUAUAAAUCAUUCUUUUAUCAUUUAUCUUUUAUUUUUAUCCUUUAUAAUUAUUAAUUCACCUAAAAUAAUAUUUUUAAUAUUUAUUUACACUUUUAUUUAUUUAUUUAUCUCACUUAUCUUUUCUAAAUGUAUAAUUAUCGUUUUUUAUUUGCUAAACCCUUUAGAAAAAUAAUAAAAUGAAAAACAAGGCGUAACAUUCUUCCGUUUAGUCAUUUCAGGAAUGGAGUUUAAAUGAUUUUAUUGUAAGUUUUAGUUUUCUAAAAUUUUGUAAUGCCUACAACCUUUCGCUCCUUCUAUAUAAAUAUUUUGUAAGGCUUUCACUAACAUCUUGGAAUCAAUAAUUCUUAUCCCUUUUCAAUAUAUAUAUUUUUUCAUUCUAUGUAAAUUGUAGAAGUUUUUACUAUGAGGCUAAUGAUAGCUUGUUUUUUCUUUCUACAUAGACGGUUCAACCGUAUAUGAUUUGCCAUCCAUAAAUCUAAGGUUACCGAUAAUUUUUGGACGAAAUUAAGAGGUAAUCAUGCCAAGAUCCCCAUAAUAUUUUGUGCUUCUGUUUUUUGCCCUUUGAAUUAAUACUGUAUUUUAGGGGUAUAAAAAUAUAAGUAUAGAUUAUUUGUCAAUUGACAAAAGGGAUUAAAUAAAAUUAUGAGAAAUACUAUAAUUUUUUUUGGAGGUGAAAAUGUAAGAUAUAGAAGUGUGGUGUCUAAUGUUGAAACUCCAAUAUCUAAGGGAAUAUAUAAAAGGGAUAAUGACUUAAAAUGGUAAUAUAUUUUUUGAUUUGUAUACAUUUGGUCACUAAGUUUUCUUUUCACCCAUAUUUACCCCUUCAACUUGUUAAACUGUACACAUUCAAUCCUUAUGACUUGUUACUUCAGGUGAGUCGGGAAAAUGACUUAAUAGGGUAAUAUAUUUUUCAUUUUGUACACAUUGGUCCUUAAUAUUUUUGUACAUAUUUAAUCCUUAAUAUUUUUUUGUUUCAAAAUAAGUCAUUUUUGUUUUUCUACUCAUUCAGUACUUAUGAAUAAUUUCUUUAGAUUUUUCUCACGACAUCUUAUACGAGACAAUCAUUGAUGAAGUGUGUGAGGUUGUUGAUGUUUAUGGGUAACAUCUUAUUUUUACAACAAAAAAUUUUCAUUUUUAAAUAAGGCAAAACUCUAAUUAUAAAUCCAUUAUUAAGAAAAAAUGCUUAUUCCAAAAUACAUUUAUCGAAAAUCAGAGUAAUAUAAGAAACAUGGAAUCUUCAAUACUAUUGAUGAGUGUGUACAGUCAUGCCUUCGCUGUAGCACCUGGUUCCUGGUAUGUAUUCUUGGUUAUUAACUCCCCUUAUAUAUUGCAUUUUAACCUUGGACUCGGCGAGUUGAAGGACUAACUCGCCGAGUAGAAGCGGGACUAGACGUGGGAUCUACUCUGUCUACUCGGCGAGUAGGCUCGUGGGACUCGGCGAGUAGACCCUGUCUGGACUAAAACCCUAACCCGGGUGUUUGCACCCUAUUUAAAUGAUCUAACCCAGCCUCCAUUUCCCUUAGCACACCCAGAGAUCUGUAGAACGAAACCCUAGCCCCCUUUGUGUCCUUGUGGGUGAUUUUUAGCUUUGUGAAGGUGGUUUGCAGCUUGGGAGAAGAAGGAGAAGGUUGAAGAGUGCAAGAAGGGAAGAAGAUCUGGAAUCUACUCUGUGAAGGGCUUCUAUUCAGGUAGAAAAGUUCCUACCUUGAUCUUUAGUUCAUUAAAUCCCCUUUUUGUCCCUAAAAAGUGGUUUUAAACCUUAAGAACCUAAAUCUCUACGUGUUUAUGGUUAAUGUUCUGCAAGGACUUCGGAUUUGGAUCUUUUGGACAUCCUAGUAGCAUUAAGUCUCUGUGGUUGAGGUGAUUGAGGUCCCUAUUGAGUGUAGGACCUCUUAAAGAGCUUGGAAUUGCAUGUUUGAGCUCAUAGGGCCAUGCAUGCACGUAAAAUUUGCAACUUUACGUGGGAAACAUGCCCUAGGACCAUAGAUCAGUGGUUUUGAAGCGUUGCAUGUCUCAGAUAUGGCCUACUCGGGAAAUGGGUCGAGGGACUCGGCGAGUCUCAAAGGGGAACUCGGCGAGUUCUAUGAAGAUGGUCCUAGACUCGGCGAGUUGGAUGAACAACUCGGCGAGUCCUAUGAAGAUUGCCUAGAGCUCGUCGAGUUGUUCUUCAAACUCGGCGAGUCAUAUGAACUUUCACAGAGCAAGAGGGGUUUAAGCGUUGAAGGUUCAACCCUUCGUACCUGCACGCGGAAUUAACCGUGUAACGUAGUCCCAAAACCCCAAACCCUCGUAUGGGGUGUUCUGGUGUGGAUUAGAAGCGAGUAGGGGAUCCGCUCGAGGAACUCGGCGAGUUGCUCGCGGACUCGGCGAGUCGGGACUCGAGUUGGCCCCAUAGUCCCGAGUGGUGAGUCAAGGGUGACUCAGUGAGUGGGGAGAGGGACUUGGCGAGUGGGACUGGAUUAGUAAGGGAAGGACUCGGCAAGUUGCUCGCGGACUCGGCGAGUCCAGUCAACUGGAAGUUGACUUUGACUUGGAUUUCGACUUGGUCAAGGGUAAAAGGGUCAUUUUACCCUAAGUACAUCUAGCAGUGUUUGACUGAUCGUUUUGUGGGAAUUAUAGCCGGAGGACGUCCGGAGCAGCAGCAGCAGCAGUAGACAGUCAGUUCCCGAUCAGAUCAGCNUUCCCUUCCAGUAGCGGCGGGUCUACGGCCACAAUGUCAGCCCACCAGUAGGGGUUGUACGUUAGAUGAAUGUCUUCGUGAUAUCAUCUAGGUUUGCUACUACAUGAUAUGUUAUAUGCGAGCAUGAUAUGCUAUAUGUGUUAGAAGUAGAGUUCGGUUGUUAUGACCGAAGGGUAGUUCAGACACCCCAGAUAUGUCUGAUAAUUUGUUAUGUUAUGAUAUAUGCGUAAGUAGCAGUAGGGGGUGAAAUAGUCCCCGAGGAUCGGUUGUCAGGACCGAAGGGUAGUCAGCACCCCAGAAUAGCUUGACACGGGUAGACGGCACCCCAGAAUGGCCGCACAGGUAGUCGACACCCCAGAAUGGCCGUACCGGGUAGUCAGGCACCCCAGAAUAGUCUGGCAGUAUGUAUGUUAUGUGUUUGUAUGGUAUAUGGUACGAUGGGGGAACUCACUAAGCUUUGUGCUUACGUUUUUCAGUUGUUGUUUCAGGUACCUCUUCAGCUAGGGGAAAGGAGCCGGCACGGUAGCGGCAUAUCACACACACUCUUGUUUUCCGCACUAUGGAUUUCUGGGAUGUACUCUGAAUUAUUACUAUGAUAUUACAGGUUUGUAGACAUGGAUUAUUGUUAUGAAUGUUUUGUAAUGAUGUUUCUAUGUAUUAACCUAAAUUAAAAAUGAAAUUUUUAACCGGUACUUUUGGGACGUUACAUUCGCUUUCCCAUGAUCGACGAUAGAACCUAAAAACAUAAACAACUAGGUAAACACAAAGUUUAGUGAGUUUCUCCCAAAAUACCCGAUACAAGAAACGUAUUAUCAUGCAUAACGGGCCCACACUCAUCAGAUUGGAAUACUUUGGACCAAUCAGUCAUCCGACUAGAAUGUCAACACGCAACAGGUCCAAUCAAUCAUCAGAUUGGAAUACCCAUGGUUUGUCGGCAUGCCGCCUUAACCCAACCGCUCUUCUCGAGCCUCCGUGUCUACGGCUUACAGCCGGCCUGCAUCGGGUUUCUUAGCCUAAAACAUAUAACAGGACCGUUUCAACCUAUCCCGCCACCAUAUGGCUAUCCCACGUAAUACGUUGUGAAAAAAAACCUAAAUAAAUCAUUUAUAUGUACCGAAUGAAUACAAAAACAAAAAUAAUUUAUUUUGCAACAAAAAAAAUAUUAAGGACUAAAUGUGUACAAAAUAAGAAAUAUAUUAUCCUAUUAAGUCAUUUUUACCGGCUAACUUAGAGUAGCCGACUAACUUGGAGCAGCGAUCAUAAGGACUAAAUGUGUACUGUUUAAUAAGUUGUUCAGAUCAAAAAAUAUAUUACGUAUCUCUGAAAGGAUUUAUACUUACUUCCUCAUUAUCUUCGCUCCCUGGUUAACAUUUAAAGAGAAGGAGGAAACUAUCCAUGAACUCAAAUCGAUCCACGUUGAAAGAAGAAAUUAAGGAAGUAAUUGAAGUAUAAUCUUGCAAAAUAAGUUAAUUGCAAAGUGAACUCUGCUUAAUUUCGGUGCUGUUGGAAAUUUGAGGUAUGUUCCUCAAACUGAUAAAUUGAUAAAGUAUAAGUUAUCAAUAAAGAAAUUGAAAUGUUAAUGAAGAUUUAUACCAGUUAUUGAGUAAAUCUUAUCAAUAAUCUAAGAGAAAUGUCGAUCUGGAAUUUCAGAAACGUAUGUUGACCUAAUUUAAUCAAAGUUGUGAAGUUUUUGAAUAAGUAUAGUUAAAUUGAGUAAGUUAAUAACUUUUUGAAGUUAAUAUGCUGUUGUGUAUGUUAUAAACGAAUGUAAUUAGGGGUAAAUGAGUGUAAUGAUGUGUAUUGUAUUGUGGAUACAAAAAGCAAACCGAACAGGUGGAUGGGGACUUUAAUUUAAACGAUGCUUUGAGAGGGGAUUGAUCCCCAGUGUGCGCUGCUGUGUUUAUUGAGUAGUUGACACUAUUUUGAAUUAAUAUAUUGCUACGUUAUGAUAUGUGUAUAAUGAGUUAAGUAUGAUUAAUUGGGCUUGAGAUUAGAAUGAAUUAAUGAUUGUUUGUCACCAUUGUUUGACAACAAAGUAUGAUGAACCUAGUAAUUGAGAAUGGUGGUAAAGAGUCUGAGAGAAAGUUAAAGUCGCAUAUCAUAUUAUAAGGGAAUGAUAGGGGGCUUUGGGAUCACGGGAUUGUUUUUAUACAUAAUAUAAUUGUAAAGUUGUAAAAUAUAACAGGUAAAUAUCUUCUUUACAUCAAUGGCAUCUUCAUCAUCAUCAUCAUCAUCUCAGCCAUGGGAGUACCAUGUUUUCCUUAGUUUUAGAGGAGAAGAUACUCGUCAGAAUCUUGUGGGCCAUCUCUACAAAGCUCUUGUAGAAAAAGGGGUCUACACUUACAAGGAUGAUGAAACACUUCCUCGGGGGGAAUCAAUCAGUCCAGCCCUUAUGAAGGCUAUUGAAGGAUCACAACUUGCUGUCAUCGUAUUCUCUGAAAAUUAUGCAGAUUCAUCGUGGUGUUUAGAGGAACUUUCACAUAUUAUGGAAUGCAAGGAAACGAGAGGCCAAAUCGUUAUGCCUAUAUUUUAUGACGUGGAUCCGUCUUAUGUGCGAAAUCAAAAAGAAAAAUAUGGAGAAGCAUUUGCCAAACACGAGCUCAAGAACACUGACAAAAUCAAAUCUUUGGUUCAGGCAUUUAUAAUUGACCCUUGUGGGUGGUUCUUUGCACCGUUUGAACGAAAAAGGGAAUACGAUGAAGAAUAUACCAAACAGCACUCAGAGAUUAAGACAAAGGUUGAAUCAUGGAGAAAAGCAAUCGUGGAUGCAAGUAACAUAUCUGGAUGGUUUAUUGCCAACAGGUAAAUAUCUUUAUUUUACUAUUUUUUUUUAAAUGUUCUUUGGAAAUAAGAAAGUAGGUGAAGACUUGUAUUGGAUUGAGCAUUUUAAAGAUUAUUAGAGCAUUCCUUUUAUUAUUGAAGUUGUGAUGAUUAUGAUUUACAUUUACAUGUACAAUAUAUUUGUAGUUAUUUUCAUAACAGUUAUCUUACAAAUAUAUUAUUUGCUAAAAGAAAAUAUGGUGUUACUAUCCAUGCUGCAGAUAACAUCACCACUAACAAAUCAAGUUAUAUAAUUUAUUGAAUUUUAUUCAAAUUCUUUUGAUUUGUGUAUAAACUUAAAAUUUGCUUCUCGUAUAGUAUCUUGUACUCUUUUUAUCUUGUUUUUCCUUAUUUUCUUUCCUUCAAUAUAACUCUCAAAAUUUUAUAUGGAUUUUUUGUUUUAAAUGUAUUAGUUAUCUUUUGCAUAUACGACAUAAGUUUUAAUUUAUAUUUUUUGAUAAAAAUUCAUCCAUCUGAAAAGAAUUUCCCACAUGCAUAGGGGAUAUAAUUAAGUACUCCUUCUGUCCCAAAAUAAUUGUCCACAGACAAAAAACACACAAAUUAAGGAAACAUUAAUUAUCAUUAACUUUAUUAAAUGAAAUGACAUUGUUACCCUUUUGUUGAAUAUAAUUCAAUGGUAGUUGCAUUUAAUUCAUGGUAAUUUAAUUGAUAAUGAGGGGUAUUAUGGUAAAAGACAUUUAUUUUUAGAAGUAGGCUAUUAUUUUGGGACAAACCAAAAAGGAAACAUGGACUGUUAAUAUGAGACGGAGGGAGUACCAUAUAUAAAAGAUUGUGAGAUGUUUUCACGGCUUCACUGAAUAUAAAUUCUUGUGCUAUCGGCUCUCAUUAGCAUAUAUGUCAAAGAUAAUAAUUAGUGGAUUGUUGCCUUUGCCAAAUUAAAGAUAUCCUAAGUCAUAGGAUUAUAUAUAAAGCUCAAACUAAGUUUUAUGAUGGACUUCACUCAAUUGUAAUAUUAAGUUAAUACUUAUCAUCUCACUGACACUUCUAACGACAAGCCCACUAUAUCUCUUUUGCAUUUUCCUGUGCAUGGAUCUAUUUGGUCUUUCUCAUGAAACUUGUUAGGAAUACUUAUGAUACUGACUUUACAAGUUCUAUUGAAAUUUGAAAUGUGAUUAAGAAAUACUUAGGACUCCUUAAUUUCCCUUAUUUCAUGGAACAUGGAAGAUUGGACAAGACCACAUUUUGUCUGUGUCAAGGCGUGUUACUUAUCCUUCUAUAUCCACUAUGUGCAGGGAUGAGUCGAAGGCCAUUGAAGAAAUUGUUGAGACAAUUUCACAAAGGUUGCAUCCAACAUCAGUUGAGGAUGACAACCUGAUUGGAAUGAAGGCUCGCAUGCAAGAUUUGAUAUCAAAGUUGCAGAUAGAGUUUGGUGGUAAAAGGAUGAUUGGAAUAUGGGGAGUUGGGGGCGGUGGCAAGACUACUCUUGCCUCUUCUAUUUUUGAUGAAAUCUCUAGCAAGUUUGAUGGUUGCUGCUUUCUAAAAAAUGUCAGGGGUGAAUCAAGUAAAAAUAACGGUUUGGAAAACUUGCAACAAAAAAUUCUUUCAGACGUUUUGAAACAGAAGCAAGUGGAGGUACGAAGAGUUGAAGAAGGAAGGCGCAUGAUAAAGGAUAGGUUACAACAUCGAAAGGUGUUGAUUGUUCUUGAUGAUGUCGACAACCUUGAACACCUAGAAGAUUUAGCUGGAUCACGUGAUUGGUUCGGUGAAGGAAGCCGGAUAUUAAUCACAACAAGAGAUGAGCAUGUAUUAACCGGAC
This 40397-nucleotide long non-coding RNA is filed under the name Lactuca sativa (garden lettuce). Its description in RNAcentral is "long non-coding RNA (LSAT_LNC008079)". Lineage: Eukaryota; Viridiplantae; Streptophyta; Magnoliopsida; Asterales; Asteraceae. The record is from RNAcentral.